GCCAUUUCUAUGGAUUAGUUGCAUGAACAAUCAAUCCUCUAGCCUCCCACCAGCCUUUCUUUAAAAUGAGGGUAAUCUCUGGAACAUUCUGGGGUGUGACAAGUCUAAUAUAAGUCCUCUGACCUCACUCCUCCAUGACGUCACCACCCACCUAUGCCAAGGGAAUGACAAGAAGACUCAGCGGCACCAUCCACAAUGGAAAUGCAGAGUCUUUUCGCAUUACACUGCCAGCCAAACAGUAAGAGAUGCAUCCUACUCUGAAAAACUGUUUUUUUUUUUUUUUUUUUUUGAAGAACACACAGCCUCUAGAAGUCACUAACAACAUGCAUAUGAAGUGUGUCUGGAAAAGAAGUAGUUAACAAUACUUAUUAUUUUUCCAACAUUAACUGCACAGGGACUUUUAAAACUGACUUCGAACAAUUAGGAUAAGCAAAAAAAAUGUAUGCUUUAUCAAGAAAUAUUUAAAAACUUAUAUGUGAUAUUGCUAUUUGUAGCACUCUGCUCAUCAAAUCAAGUCUGCCUUGUCUCAUUACAUGAUCCCUGCCAUACUGUUUCCAAAUGUUUAUAGUUUGUGUUCAUUAGUCCAUUUUUAGCCCUCCUUUUCCCCAUUUCUUUGUCUUGCAUUGUUUGGGUAUUCUUUGGUUACAUUUGGUAAGGUCUUUGCAUAUUUGUUUAUUUUUUAUGUGAUGAUGUUUUUCCAGACCUAUACAUUAAAAUGUUUACUAAUUUACUAAUUCAACCAUUCUUUCUUUUUGGGGGAAUGACUGCUGAGCAACUGCUGUGACACAGCUGGAACUUGACUCAAAGGACAAACAGAUGAGAUGGCCAAUAAUUUUGGAGUACAAGUGUGGUAUUUUCAUAAAUAUCCCAUCCCAAGGUUACCAGAAUCUGCCAGUCCCAGCUUUGGGUCCAGCCUCAUGCACCACUCCUUCAAAGCGAUGACCACUAACCUGCCAGCAAGGAACACUUUGAUGACCACUGCCUGCAUCAUCUUCACCAAGAAUAAACAUCUACCAACUGCAGCUUGUGCCACUUCGAACAGCAAAUGACACUUCAUCAACCAUUGCAUCUCUUCAGUCCAUUUUGGAUGGACUCCAAAGACUCUUAAUCGUUACCCUUACAGUUUUAAACAUUACUAACAUAUUGAAAAAUUGCAUCACUGAAUCUAUUCAGUGAAUACAUGACUUGUAUAACACUACUGUAGAGCAAAGUAAUAAAGGCAUA
This is a long non-coding RNA of Myxocyprinus asiaticus (Chinese sucker), 1224 nucleotides long. RefSeq lists it as uncharacterized. The transcript has 3 exons. The record is from RefSeq and is a predicted model, not a curated record. Lineage: Eukaryota; Metazoa; Chordata; Actinopteri; Cypriniformes; Catostomidae.